Molecule: transfer RNA, 73 nt
Filed under: Canis lupus familiaris (dog)
Lineage: Eukaryota; Metazoa; Chordata; Mammalia; Carnivora; Canidae
Also listed under: 1 other name
Rfam family: tRNA
About the family: Transfer RNA (tRNA) molecules are approximately 80 nucleotides in length. Their secondary structure includes four short double-helical elements and three loops (D, anti-codon, and T loops).
Source: Rfam by way of RNAcentral
GACUAGCUGGCUUGGUUCGUAGAGCACAGGACUCUUGAUCUUGGGGUCAUGAGUUCAAGCUUCAUGUUGGACA